RNAcentral lists this ribosomal RNA (840 nucleotides) under Triticum aestivum (bread wheat). Its description in RNAcentral is "partial small subunit ribosomal RNA". Lineage: Eukaryota; Viridiplantae; Streptophyta; Magnoliopsida; Poales; Poaceae. The record is from RNAcentral.
AUGCCACAGGAUGACAGAAUUGAUGGCUUUGAGAAUCUUCAGGUUUUGGACAUGGAUGGUUGCCAAUUAUCUGGAAAAAUACCUCUAUGGAUAUCAAGGGUCACGAAUUUGGAGAUGUUAAUUUUAAGAAGCAAUCAACUCAUUGGACUAAUACCAGGCUGGAUCAACUCCCUAAACCAUCUCUCCUUUAUGGAUGUGUCAAACAACAACCUUAUAGGAGAAAUUCCGUUGACCUUGACGGAGAUGCCAAUGCUAAAAUCAACUGAGAACUCAAGUCAUUUGGGCCCAAGGGUCUUUGAGCUGCCUCUUUAUAUUGAUCCAUCACUUCAAUACCUUGCAGAUACAUCUUUCCCACUAGUGUUGAAUCUAAGCAACAACAACUUCACAGGUGUGAUUCCCCCACAGAUUGGUCAGUUGAAAGUUCUUGUUGCACUUGAUUUCAGCUUCAACGAGCUAUCAGGACAGAUCCCAGGAUCAGUACGCAAUCUCACAAACCUGCAGGUCCUAGACUUGUCCAACAACAAUCUCACAGGUGCAAUCCCAGCUGCAUUGAACAGCUUGCACUUCCUUGCAGCGUUUAAUGUUUCUGGCAAUGACUUAGAAGGCCCUAUUCCAUCUGGAGGACAGUUCAACACAUUUGAGAGCUCUAGCUUUUAUGGGAAUACAAAACUCUGUGGGUCUAUGCUCAUUCACAAAUGUGGUUCAGCAGAAGCACCUCCAGCCAUUAUUCUGUCAAAAAAACAAACUGAUUACAAGGUGGCUUUCGUGACUGCCUUUAGUGCGUUCUUUGGUGUAGGGGUGUUGUAUGAUCAGACAGUCCUAUCGAGGUAUUUUGGCUAG